RNAcentral lists this ribosomal RNA (259 nucleotides) under uncultured bacterium. RNAcentral's name for it is "partial 16S ribosomal RNA". It matches the Rfam family "Bacterial small subunit ribosomal RNA", at positions 96 to 353 of the family's 1533-position model. The record is from RNAcentral.
CGGCGGACGGGUGAGUAACGCGUGGGUAACCUGCCCUGUACACACGGAUAACAUACCGAAAGGUAUGCUAAUACGAGAUAACAUACUUUUAUCGCAUGGUAGAAGUAUCAAAGCUUUUGCGGUACAGGAUGGACCCGCGUCUGAUUAGCUAGUUGGUAAGGUAACGGCUUACCAAGGCGACGAUCAGUAGCCGACCUGAGAGGGUGAUCGGCCACAUUGGAACUGAGACACGGUCCAAACUCCUACGGGAGGCAGCAUG